This 496-nucleotide ribosomal RNA is filed under the name uncultured bacterium. Its description in RNAcentral is "partial 16S ribosomal RNA". It matches the Rfam family "Bacterial small subunit ribosomal RNA", at positions 28 to 506 of the family's 1533-position model. The record is from RNAcentral.
GAUGAACGCUGGCGGCGUGCCUAAUACAUGCAAGUCGAGCGAACGGACGAGAAGCUUGCUUCUCUGAUGUUAGCGGCGGACGGGUGAGUAACACGUGGAUAACCUACCUAUAAGACUGGGAUAACUUCGGGAAACCGGGGCUAAUACCGGAUAAUAUUUUGAACCGCAUGGUUCAAGAGUGAAAGACGGUCUUGCUGUCACUUAUAGAUGGAUCCGCGCUGCAUUAGCUAGUUGGUAAGGUAACGGCUUACCAAGGCAACGAUGCAUAGCCGACCUGAGAGGGGGAUCGGCACACCUGGACCUGAGAACCGGUCCAGCACCCUACGGGAGGCAGCAGUAGGGAAUCUGCCGCAAGGGGCGAAAGCAUGACGGAGCAACGCCGCGUGAGUGAUGAAGGUCUUCGGAUCGUAAAACGCUGUUAUUAGGGAAGAAAAUAUGUGUAAGUAACGGUGCACAUCUGGACGGUACCUAAGCAGAAAGCCACGGCUAACUACGU